Molecule: ribosomal RNA, 526 nt
Filed under: uncultured bacterium
Lineage: Bacteria
Description: bacterial SSU rRNA
Rfam family: Bacterial small subunit ribosomal RNA
Source: RNAcentral
AAUAGAUACCCCGGUAGUCCACGCCGUAAACGAUGGAUACUAGCUGUUUGAGCGCAAGUUUGAGUGGCUAAGCGAAAGUGAUAAGUAUCCCACCUGGGGAGUACGGGCGCAAGCCUGAAACUCAAAGGAAUUGACGGGGGCCCGCACAAGCGGUGGAGCAUGUGGUUCAAUUCGAUGAUACGCGAGGAACCUUACCAGGGCUUAAAUGUAGAUUGACGUAUUUGGAAACAGAUAUUUCUUCGGACAAUUUACAAGGUGCUGCAUGGUUGUCGUCAGCUCGUGCCGUGAGGUGUCAGGUUAAGUCCUAUAACGAGCGCAACCCCUGUUGUUAGUUGCCAGCGAGUAAUGUCGGGAACUCUAGCAAGACUGCCAGUGUAAACUGUGAGGAAGGUGGGGAUGACGUCAAAUCAUCACGGCCCUUACGUCCUGGGGCCACACACGUGCUACAAUGGCCGGUACAGAGAGCAGCCACUUAGCGAUAAGGAGCGAAUCUAUAAAAGCCGGUCACAGUUCGGAUCGGAGUCUG